This 715-nucleotide ribosomal RNA is filed under the name uncultured Sphingobacteriia bacterium. Its description in RNAcentral is "bacterial SSU rRNA". It matches the Rfam family "Bacterial small subunit ribosomal RNA", at positions 57 to 761 of the family's 1533-position model. Lineage: Bacteria; Pseudomonadati; Bacteroidota; Sphingobacteriia. The record is from RNAcentral.
GCAAGUCGUGGGGCAGCAGGUCUGUAGCAAUACAGGCGCUGGCGACCGGCAAACGGGUGUGGAACACGUACACAACCUUCCUUUAAGUGGGGAAUAGCCCGGGGAAACCCGGAUUAAUACCCCGUAACAUAAUGAAAAGGCAUCUUUUUAUUAUUAUAGCAGCAAUGCGCUUGAUGAUGGGUGUGCGCCUGAUUAGGCAGUUGGCGGGGUAAUGGCCCACCAAACCUACGAUCAGUAACUGGUGUGAGAGCACGACCAGUCACACGGGCACUGAGACACGGGCCCGACUCCUACGGGAGGCAGCAGUAAGGAAUAUUGGUCAAUGGACGCAAGUCUGAACCAGCCAUGCCGCGUGGAGGAUGAAGGUCCUCUGGAUUGUAAACUUCUUUUAUCUGGGAAGAAACCCACGAAUUCUUUUGUGGUUGACGGUACCAGAUGAAUAAGCACCGGCUAACUCCGUGCCAGCAGCCGCGGUAAUACGGAGGGUGCAAGCGUUAUCCGGAUUCACUGGGUUUAAAGGGUGCGUAGGUGGGCAGGUAAGUCAGUGGUGAAAUCUCCGGGCUUAACUCGGAAACUGCCAUUGAUACUAUCUGUCUUGAAUACCGUGGAGGUCAGCGGAAUAUGUCAUGUAGCGGUGAAAUGCUUAGAUAUGACAUAGAACACCAAUUGCGAAGGCAGCUGGCUACACGAAUAUUGACACUGAUGCACGAAAGCG